AGAGUUCGAUUAUGGCUCAGGAUGAACGCUGGCGGCGUGCUUAACACAUGCAAGUCGAACGAAGCGAUUUGACGGAAGUUUUCGGAUGGAAGUUAAAUUGACUGAGUGGCGGACGGGUGAGUAACGCGUGGGUAACCUGCCUCACACUGGGGGACAACAGUUAGAAAUGACUGCUAAUACCGCAUAAGCGCACAGGACCGCAUGGUCCGGUGUGAAAAACUCCGGUGGUGUGAGAUGGACCCGCGUUUGAUUAGCUAGUUGGUGGGGUAACGGCCUACCAAGGCGACGAUCAAUAGCCGACCUGAGAGGGUGACCGGCCACAUUGGGACUGAGACACGGCCCAA
This 344-nucleotide ribosomal RNA is filed under the name uncultured bacterium. RNAcentral's name for it is "bacterial SSU rRNA". It matches the Rfam family "Bacterial small subunit ribosomal RNA", at positions 8 to 334 of the family's 1533-position model. The record is from RNAcentral.